CACGCCGUAAACGAUGAUUACUCGCUGUUGGCGAUACACUGUCAGCGGCUAAGCAAAAGCAAUAAGUAAUCCACCUGGGGAGUACGGCCGCAAGGUUGAAACUCAAAGGAAUUGACGGGGGCCCGCACAAGCGGAGGAACAUGUGGUUUAAUUCGAUGAUACGCGAGGAACCUUACCCGGGCUCGAACGGUGCAUGAAUGUUCAAGAGAUUGGAUAGUCCUUCGGGACAUGUAUCGAGGUGC
RNAcentral lists this ribosomal RNA (242 nucleotides) under uncultured Bacteroidota bacterium. RNAcentral describes it as "uncultured Bacteroidetes bacterium partial 16S ribosomal RNA". It matches the Rfam family "Bacterial small subunit ribosomal RNA", at positions 796 to 1041 of the family's 1533-position model. The record is from RNAcentral. Lineage: Bacteria; Pseudomonadati; Bacteroidota.